Molecule: small RNA, 456 nt
Filed under: Pongo abelii (Sumatran orangutan)
Lineage: Eukaryota; Metazoa; Chordata; Mammalia; Primates; Hominidae
Description: retained intron
Source: RNAcentral
CGGAUGUGGGUCUCCUGUGGGCCUCAACUCUUGAACACUCAUGACAUGGAGACUGUUCUAAUGAAUCACACUGGUUAAGUAGGCAUGGGAAGAGCCUUUCUUGGCUAAAGGGCUGGCCAUGGAGCAGACACCAAGUAGUGUCACUCAUGCUGAGAGGAGGGCAAUCUGUAUACCUUGUCAUGUCCUUUGUGGCUCAGUUGCUCUGAGAGCCUUGGGUAGGAGGGUCAAGCUCUAUGUCUUAUAUUUCCAGAUGAGUGAUGUAGAAGCUGGUGGUGCCACCGUCUUCCCUGAUCUGGGGGCUGCAAUUUGGCCUAAGAAGGGUACAGCUGUGUUCUGGUACAACCUCUUGCGGAGCGGGGAAGGUGACUACCGAACAAGACAUGCUGCCUGCCCUGUGCUUGUGGGCUGCAAGUGGGUCUCCAAUAAGUGGUUCCAUGAACGAGGACAGGAGUUCUU